This 1635-nucleotide ribosomal RNA is filed under the name uncultured archaeon. RNAcentral's name for it is "16S ribosomal RNA". It matches the Rfam family "Archaeal small subunit ribosomal RNA". The record is from RNAcentral.
UUCCGGUUGAUCCUGCCGGAGAUCACCGCUAUUAGAGUUCCACUAACCCAUGCGAGUUCCUGGGUAAAACCAGAGCGAACGGCUGAGUAACACGCAGUUAACAUCACUUUAGGUGGCGAAUAACCUUGGGAAACUGAGAUGAAUACGCCAUAGUCAAUUAUGCCUGGAACGGUUUAUUGACGAAAGCCUCGGCGCCUAAAGAUUGGACUACGGAGGAUUAGGUCGAUGUUAGGGUAAUGACCUGACAUGCCAAUAAUCCUUAGGGGCCAUGAAAGUGGUAGCCUCCAGAUGGAUUCUGAGACACGAAUCCAGGCCCUAUGGGGCGCAGCAGGGGGGAAAACUCCGCAAUGCACGAAAGUGUGACGGGGGAACUCUAAGUGCCAGCACACUGUGUUGGCUUUUCAUUAGUCCAAAUCGCUAGUGGAAUAAGUGGGGGGUAAGACCGUUGCCAGCCGCCGCGGUAAUAACGGCUCCACAAGUGGUGAUCACGUAUAUUGGGUCUAAAGCAUUCGUAGCCGGUUUGUUAAGUCUUCUGUGAAAUCUGGCAGAAAACUGUCAGGCGUGCAGGAGAUACUGGCAAGCUUGGAACCGGGAGGAGCCUGGAGUACUUUUAGGGUAGGGGUAAAAUCCUGUAAUCCUAAAGGGACUACCUGUGGCGAAGGCGCCAGGCUAGAACGGAUUCGACGGUGAGGAAUGAAAGCGAGGGGAGCAAAGGGGAUUAGAUUUCGCAACUAGCGUUGCUCAUUUAGAUCGCUAGCACGACUAAAUACCCCCGUAGUCCUCGCUGUAAACGAUGCCCGCUUGGUAUUGGAAGUUGCUAGACUUCUUCCAGUGCCGUAGGGAAGCCAUUGAGCGGGCCACCUGGGAAGUACAGUCGCAAGGCUGAAACUUAAAGGAAUUGGCGGGGGAGCACACAAGGGGUGCGGUCUGCGGUUCAAUUGGACUCAACGCCGGGAACCUCACCAGGGGUGACAGCAGUAUGAUGGUCAGUCUGAAGGGCUUACCUGACGCGCUGAGAGGUAUUGCAUGGCCGUCGUCAGCUCGUGCCGCGAGAGCUUUUACUAAGGUCUUUCUUAAGAAAGGCUCCGGUAAAGGUGUCCUGUUAACAGGUCGUGGUGCAGCAUAAUGACAUCACCAUGGAAGCUUCAUAAAUUUCAGACUCGCAAGAGUCUGAAAAGCUUGAAAAUCCGUAGCGGAUUUUCAUGACACCCAAUAGUGUAUAUCAAGAAAAAAUAUAGCAAGUAUGCAAAGAGUAAACGCGUAUACCUAAUAAGGGUUUUGGAUUAAUUAUCGAAGCUUUUAAUCUGACAGAUAGUCAGGUAACGAGCGAGACCCACGCCGUAUGUUGCCAGCUGUUUCUUCGGAAGCGGCGCACUCAUGCGGGACUGCCCGUGCUAAAUGGGAGGAAGGAGUGGUCAACGGUAGGUCAGUGUGGUCCGAAUCCCCUGGGCUACACGCGGGCGCCAAUGGCAAGGACAAUAGGAUGCAACUCCGAAAGGAGGAGCUAAUCCCUGAACCCUUGUCUCAGUACAGAUUGAGGGUUGCAACUCACCCUCAUGACGCCGGAAUCCCUAGUAGGCGAAUGUUAGCACCUUUCGUCGAAUACGUCCCCGCUCCUUGCACACACCGCCCGUC